Molecule: ribosomal RNA, 467 nt
Filed under: uncultured bacterium
Lineage: Bacteria
Description: bacterial SSU rRNA
Rfam family: Bacterial small subunit ribosomal RNA
Source: RNAcentral
AGCCAGACUCCUACGGGAGGCAGCAGUGAGGAAUAUUGGUCAAUGGGCGCGAGCCUGAACCAGCCAAGUAGCGUGCAGGAUGACGGCCCUCCGGGUUGUAAACUGCUUUUAGUUGGGAAUAAAAGGGGGCUCGUGAGCCCCGUAUUGUAUGUACCAUCAGAAAAAGGACCGGCUAAUUCCGUGCCAGCAGCCGCGGUAAUACGGAAGGUCCGGGCGUUAUCCGGAUUUAUUGGGUUUAAAGGGUGCGUAGGCGGGCUGUUAAGUCAGCGGUCAAAUGUCGGGGCUCAACCCCGGCCUGCCGUUGAAACUGCAUCCCUUGAGUGCGCGAGAAGUAUGCGGAAUGCGUGGUGUAGCGGUGAAAUGCAUAGAUAUCACGCAGAACUCCGAUUGCGAAGGCAGCAUACCGGCGCGCAACUGACGCUCAUGCACGAAAGCGUGGGUAUCGAACAGGAUUAGAUACCCUGGUA